Non-coding RNA from Gossypium hirsutum (cotton), 89 nucleotides. The record is from Rfam. Lineage: Eukaryota; Viridiplantae; Streptophyta; Magnoliopsida; Malvales; Malvaceae.
CACGUCAGCGCGCUUUGCUGACGUGGACACAAAUCGCGCUUCAGAGGACGCGAUUUCCUGACACGUCCCCUAACAUCGCGCUGACGUGG